CCUACGGGAGGCUGCAGUGGGGAAUAUUGGACAAUGGGGGCAACCCUGAUCCAGCCAUGCCGCGUGUGUGAAGAAGGCCCUCGGGUUGUAAAGCACUUUCAGUGAGGAAGAACGCCUGGUGGUUAAUACCCAUCAGGAAAGACAUCACUCACAGAAGAAGCACCGGCUAACUCCGUGCCAGCAGCCGCGGUAAUACGGAGGGUGCGAGCGUUAAUCGGAAUUACUGGGCGUAAAGCGCGCGUAGGUGGCUUGAUAAGCCGGUUGUGAAAGCCCCGGGCGCAACCUGGGAACGGCAUCCGGAACUGUCAAGCUAGAGUGCAGGAGAGGAAGGUAGAAUUCCCGGUGUAGCGGUGAAAUGCGUAGAGAUCGGGAGGAAUACCAGUGGCGAAGGCGGCCUUCUGGACUGACACUGACACUGAGGUGCGAAAGCGUGGGUAGCAAACAGGAUUAGAUACCCCAGUAGUA
RNAcentral lists this ribosomal RNA (465 nucleotides) under Vreelandella stevensii. Its description in RNAcentral is "partial 16S ribosomal RNA". It matches the Rfam family "Bacterial small subunit ribosomal RNA", at positions 338 to 795 of the family's 1533-position model. Lineage: Bacteria; Pseudomonadati; Pseudomonadota; Gammaproteobacteria; Oceanospirillales; Halomonadaceae. The record is from RNAcentral.